CAGUCGCCGCGGUAAUACGUAGGUGGCAAGCGUUGUCCGGAAUUAUUGGGCGUAAAGGGCUCGCAGGCGGUCUCUUAAGUCUGAUGUGAAAGCCCCCGGCUCAACCGGGGAGGGUCAUUGGAAACUGGGAAACUUGAGUGCAGAAGAGGAGAGUGGAAUUCCACGUGUAGCGGUGAAAUGCGUAGAGAUGUGGAGGAACACCAGUGGCGAAGGCGACUCUCUGGUCUGUAACUGACGCUGAGGAGCGAAAGCGUGGGGAGCGAACAGGAUUAGAUACCCCCGUAGUCCCUGUCUCUUAUAC
Molecule: ribosomal RNA, 301 nt
Filed under: uncultured bacterium
Lineage: Bacteria
Description: partial 16S ribosomal RNA
Rfam family: Bacterial small subunit ribosomal RNA
Source: RNAcentral